Molecule: ribosomal RNA, 326 nt
Filed under: uncultured bacterium
Lineage: Bacteria
Description: bacterial SSU rRNA
Rfam family: Bacterial small subunit ribosomal RNA
Source: RNAcentral
UUUGAUUUCAAAGAUGGCUUCGGCUAUCACUCCAGGAUGGGCCCGCGGUGCAUUAGCUAGUUGGUAAGGUAACGGCUUACCAAGGCGAUGAUGCAUAGCCGAGUUGAGAGACUGAUCGGCCACAAUGGAACUGAGACACGGUCCAUACUCCUACGGGAGGCAGCAGUAGGGAAUCUUCCACAAUGGGCGCAAGCCUGAUGGAGCAACACCGCGUGAGUGAAGAAGGGUUUCGGCUCGUAAAACUCUGUUGUUGAAGAAGAACGUGCGUGAGAGUAACUGUUCACGCAGUGACGGUAUUCAACCAGAAAGUCACGGCUAACUACGUG